ACUCCCUGCUUCAGUACUGCGCACUAAAAUUUCGAUGACACAGGGGCGGUCAGCACGGCCCCUACACAAGGAUGAAAUGCAACUUUGCAAAGCAUUCCAUAUUUUA
Meriones unguiculatus (Mongolian gerbil) is the source of this 106-nucleotide small nuclear RNA. The record is from Ensembl. Lineage: Eukaryota; Metazoa; Chordata; Mammalia; Rodentia; Muridae.